RNAcentral lists this ribosomal RNA (292 nucleotides) under uncultured bacterium. RNAcentral's name for it is "partial 16S ribosomal RNA". It matches the Rfam family "Bacterial small subunit ribosomal RNA", at positions 505 to 796 of the family's 1533-position model. The record is from RNAcentral.
GUGUCAGCCGCCGCGGUAAUACGAAGGGGGCAAGCGUUGUUCGGAAUUACUGGGCGUAAAGGGCGCGUAGGCGGCUUAUCAAGUCAGGCGUGAAAUUCCCGGGCUCAACCUGGGGGCUGCGCUUGAUACUGAUGAGCUUGAAUGCGGGAGAGGAUAGUGGAAUUCCCAGUGUAGAGGUGAAAUUCGUAGAUAUUGGGAAGAACACCGGUGGCGAAGGCGGCUAUCUGGCCCGUAAUUGACGCUGAGGCGCGAAAGCGUGGGGAGCAAACAGGAUUAGAUACCCCUGUAGUCC